This is a microRNA precursor of Chlorocebus sabaeus (green monkey), 99 nucleotides long. NCBI's taxonomy places the organism in Eukaryota, Metazoa, Chordata, Mammalia, Primates, Cercopithecidae. The record is from Ensembl.
AUACUAAUCACCUGGGGAUCUUGUUAAAAUGCAGAUUUUGAUUCAGCGAGGCCCAGGUUCUGACUUUCUAAUAAGCUCCAGAGUGAUACUGAUGCUCCU